AUGCUCCAUAGGAAGCAGAGAUACUUACAGAAUGAAAAUAAGGACAAAUAAGACUUUCUACAAAUAUCCUGGGAUGAAGGACACUGAAGGGAAAUUCUCGCUUUUGGUACCUAGCCGCCAUACCAUGAGGAAGCCUAAGUCGACUGCACAACGACCCACACUGACAGGUCCAUAGCCCUGAUGAGCCCUUGGGUGGUGGCAAGCACCAAUUUGCCCUCUUGAAAUCAGGUCCUGCGGAUCCUAGUCAAGCAGCCCCAAAUGAUGCUGUGAGGAAGAACCCACAGAGAAGUAUAGCAAUAAUUUGUGGAUGGGGCUUUAAAGCAGUCGCCUUUUGCAGGACACCUGCUUCUUUAAGAUAGUUGUAAGAAGACUACAGGCUACAUUUUCACCUCUGAAGUUGUGAAAAUAUGGUAGUAAUUAUCCAAGAUCUUUAACCAUAGUGCAAGAUAUCAAGAAGUUUGAAAUAAAGAAGAGAACGAGGUAACUUUUUGAUCUUUGGGUAAUCAGGAAACGACAAGAGUUUCUGAACCAAACUACAUUAAUCUCUUAAGUUUUCUGCUUUAUUUGAAAAUUAGGCCACUGCUUCUUUGGCUCCCUGACUUCCCAGAGCACCCUCAUCCUGAGUGUUUUCCUCCAGUAAACACUGGGCUCACCUAUUGGCUUAUUUUUAUCAUUUAAAAAAUCAAACUGCAAUCACGAGUCACGUGUUUGGCAGCCUUCUGUCUUAAAGAAGCAGCACCAGCAUACCUGAAUCCCAGGUGAGCAGAGCUCUGGCCUCAAGACGACAGGGUUGCAGCAGAAGUAGGAACGUAAUGGGCCUUGGAAGGGAAGCCUAUGCAGUGUACGUGGCCAGCACACAUCACCACACAAAAUGAUGGCACCUAGAGGCAGGGGCAGAACUAGAUGUGGUUCCCUUUAGUCCUGCGGAGCACUUUCUGAACUAGAAGAUGAUCUACAAAUAUGAGUUGUUGAAUAAACUGGUCUCAGUGAGAUGUUGCAGUAGUUCAGGCAGUGCUUACGUACCCUGGAGCCAACUCUCAUGUAUGCUAACAUUGCAAUGAAGAUCAAACAGGAAGACAGUCACCAUCAGUGAUGUCAGCUAUAUUAAAGUGAAUAAAAUGGUGGUAUUUGCCAAAAAGCACAGAAGGGCAAUAUGUCAUCCUAAGUCGAUCUAAGUAAAAAGUCAACAAAAUACCUCAAUCCCUCCCCCUACACAUAUGUGAAGCGGAUUGCUGGUCCAGGUCUUGCAGAUGAGGAAAUGAGAUGAAGAAAGUUUACUAGAGACUGUGUCUUCCUGCUGCCUCCUUGCUGCCUGGCCACUUGGAUACACCCACUUCCUGUGUGACCACACUCUCCCUGGCCACAGGUAUUGGGCCAAGGUAAAUGUUUGCUAGGGACCCCAGGACUCCAGGAGAUUGGUCUGGUAGGAAAGCAUGAGCUAUUGCAAUCUGAUCUUUCCUCUCUGGACAUGGAAUCAAAAAAAAAAAAAAAAAAAUCCAGCUGUGGGGCACCUGGGUGGCUCAGUCAGUCAAGCCUCUGACUUUGGCUCAGGUCAUGAUCUCACUGUUCCUGAG
This is a long non-coding RNA of Prionailurus viverrinus (fishing cat), 1574 nucleotides long. RefSeq lists it as uncharacterized. The transcript has 3 exons. The record is from RefSeq and is a predicted model, not a curated record. NCBI's taxonomy places the organism in Eukaryota, Metazoa, Chordata, Mammalia, Carnivora, Felidae.